Molecule: ribosomal RNA, 171 nt
Filed under: Bourdotigloea vestita
Lineage: Eukaryota; Fungi; Basidiomycota; Atractiellomycetes; Atractiellales; Phleogenaceae
Description: partial small subunit ribosomal RNA
Rfam family: Eukaryotic small subunit ribosomal RNA
Source: RNAcentral
UAAAUAGACCCCCUGCCUUCUGGGGAGGGGCUGUCUUCUUAGAGGGACUAUCGGCUUUUAGCCGAUGGAAGUUUGAGGCAAUAACAGGUCUGUGAUGCCCUUAGACGUUCUGGGCCGCACGCGUGCUACACUGACCGAGCCAGCGAGUCCUUUCCUUGGCCGGAAGGCCUG